RNAcentral lists this long non-coding RNA (4390 nucleotides) under Citrus maxima (pomelo). RNAcentral's name for it is "long non-coding RNA (CMAX_LNC001045)". The record is from RNAcentral. Lineage: Eukaryota; Viridiplantae; Streptophyta; Magnoliopsida; Sapindales; Rutaceae.
UAAAUGAAUACAUAUACCUUCAGCAGGGUCGGUCGUAGUAGUGGUGUUAUUUUGAGCGUCGGAUAAACCAAUUAGCAGGAAGAGAUGAGCAAAUAGUGUGUACGAAGAAAGUAGCAGCGAGGAAGAAAGUAGCAGCUUCACUGAUCUCACUCCAAAAUUCAUCUUCUCUCUCAUUACGAUUUACCAACCCAGAAUAAAGAGAAUUUAACGCUAAUAAUUGAAUCUAUACUCUCAUAGUUUUGUUGAAGUUAAAGAAUAUAUAGAAGGGGAAGCUAGCCAGAGUCGGUCAACAUUUGUUUUUUUAUUUUUUUUCCCAUCGUCCAUUUUACGAAGUGGUUAAAAAAAAAAAAAAUGCAUCUUAAAGCUGUGGCAAGAGGUGUUUUUAAAAACAAAAAAUAGAGAAAGAAAAGUUGAACGGUAGACACAAGAGGUACAAUAAUUUUAUGUAAGCUAUCAUAUACAAAAGAUAAAAGUUCGACAAACUGGACGAAUCCUUUCAUGUACAUAUUGGAAAUACCCAUAUAUAUAAAUGCCAAUUGACGGGCUUUUUUUUUUUAAUUUUGGUGUUUUGCUAUGCGUGUAAAGCAAAGACUUGAGUGCAUCAGAAAUUGACCAAAUUCAACUCUCGUGUAUGUACAUUGCGUCCUAAUCUUGUUGUUAUCAACUGCCCGUUUAUUGACGCAAACUCAACAUAACAUUGUAUACGGAUGCGAUUCGUGGUACAUAAACGUUAGAAUACUGCAGAAAAAUAAUACAUGACGACUAAUGUACUCUUAUUACAAAAUUCUUAGAAGUUAAACAAAAAUACUUGCAAUGAGGCACCACCUCGACUAUUACAUUAACGGGUUGUUGAACUAAACCUAUUCCCUUAUUAUUAUUAUUUGUUGAGUAAUAAAAAAUACCAGGUAGGUAUCUCCCCAUUCCAUACCGGGGGGAUGAAUCUCUCCGGCUGAAUGAUACGAGCAGAUUCCUAGUAGUAUAUCCUUUAUGGAGCACAUGCCGACUAGAAACGAAUACCGACCAGAAGUUCAUACCGAUCAGAUACUUGUCACUCAAAGAAAGAGGACACGAUCUCACCAACACACGACAAUUUCGUCAUGCCCCAAACCGCUGGGGAGAACACGAGGCCCCACGUUUACCCACGUUCGGUUGUUGAAGACCCAUUAAGGCCCUUAAUCACCCAAAUAUGACGGGCAUGAAAAAUACUCUGAGAAAGUAGGAUAACGGCCUAUAAAAGGCUGAGAAAUCAAUGAAAAAAGAGGACACAAAAAAAAAAGAGAAGGAAAAACUCUGCCAAAUUAAUAUCACGCAUUACUACAUAAACAUCUCUAAUACACUUUUUUCUAGACACAUUACAGUUAACGUGCAUAAACAAAAAUCAUAUAGUUUUCAUUGGUUGAGAUGAUGAUAACAAAUAACAAUAGUGAGGAAGAAAAAUAUACUUUCUCACACCAGAUAACCGGCAAAGUACGAGCACAUAAUAUAUUUUAAAUUGGAUUAUUUUUAAUAUACAAAAAAAAAAGAGCUUUAAAAAUGAAAGCAUUAUGGAGUCUUAGUUAAUGAAAUUAAGAUCAGUUCGAUCAUCAUCAUCACACAACAUGUUGAGACAUGUAUUUUUAUUAAAAACAAAAGUUAUAGACCUGACAUCCCUAACAGUACAGUGAUGAAUAUCUGUCAAUUAAUUAAUGUCUUCUUCCUUAAUUAGCAUUCACUCUAUAUUACUCCACUAAAAGCUUAAUUAUCAUCAACCAUGAUGAUUUUAAAUUGAGGUGUUAAAGAAAGAGAAAUUAAUUGUUAAUGUCUUCUGACUUUCUACAGCUCACUCUGAAUAUACAAUUAAUUGUUUUCUAAAAGAAUCAUGCUACUACACAUACACAUAAUGAAUUUAUGUCAAAAUAAAGAAAGAGAAAGAACAGAAAACCCCAGGGCCGUGGCUAGCUAGCAAGAGAAUUAAUUAAUGGGAAGAAAUUAAAUGAAUACGUUUACCUUCAGCAGGGUCGGUCGUAGUAGUGGUGUUAUUUUGAGCGUCGGAUAAACCAAUUAGCAGGAAGAGAUGAGCAAAUAGUGUGGAGGUGUUUUUUAAAAACAAAAAAUAGAGAAAGAAAAGGUGAACGGUAGACACAAGAGGUACAAUAAUUAUAUGUAACCUAUCUCAUAUAUAAAAGAUAAAAGUUGGCAAUACCCGUAUAUAUAAAUGCCAAUUGACGGGCUUUUUUUUUUUUUUUUAAAUUUAAAUUUUGGUGUUUUGCUAUGCCUGUAAAGAAAAGACUUGAGUGCAUCAGAAAUUGACCAAAUUCAACUCUAUAUGGCGUCCUAAUCUUCAUGGUCUCUAGUGUGGGGUUCACUUAAUUAAUAAUUAUUGUUAUCAACUGCCCGUUUAUUGACGUAAACUCAACAUAACAUUGUAUACGGAUGCGAUUCGUGGUACAUAAAAGUUAGAAUACUGCAGAAAAAUAAUACAUGACGACUAAUGUACUCUUAUUACAAAAUUCUUAAAAGUUAAACAAAAAUACUUGCAAUGAGGCACCACCUCGAUUAUUACAUUAACGGGUUGUUGAACUAAACCUAUUCCCUUAUUAUUAUUAUUAUUAUUAUUUACUUAUCAUUUGAUUUUUCCGGAAUCGACCUCUUUCUUAUUGAUUAUUUAUUCCCUUUUCCGAAUUCUCUUUUCUUUCACGUGUUCUCACAACUCACAUUCCACUUUGCAAUUUGCAAUAGAUAUAUGAACACAUUGAACUUUAUCAAUCUCAUGACAUUGGCUCAUCCUCUAUAUAUAUAUCUCUCUAUGCACGAAAUCAUAAACCAGUAAAUAUUAGUUGGCAAACCCUUAGAAUUGUCAAUUAGAUGAUUAACCCAAACCCUAGGAUUCAAACAUUUGUUUAUGAGAGAAUCAAAGCGAUUGGUAAGUUUACUCCCCUUAUUCCCCACAAGAUUUCCAAUCACUCUAUCUAGGGUUUAUAUUGGCAUGAUUUUAGAUUGUUAUAGAUCAUAAUGCAUGAUUUAGAAUGUGUUUAGGGUUUUGAUUUAUUAUGAGUUUAGGGCUUAAAAAUACAAAGCCGACACAUAAUAGACCUAGAUAAGGGCCUAGCUUUUCAAUUUAUAAAAAAAAUAAAUUAAAUUUAAAUAAAAACUCAAAAUAUUAAAUUAAUAUUUUUUUAUAUUAGCAUUUGUGAUUUAUUAUAUUGUGUUAAUAAUAUUUUGUGUAUUACACUAUUAUUCUAUUAUAUAUUGGAUAAUUAUUUUAAUUUAAAUAUUUUUACUUUAUUAAAAAUUUAUUUUAUAUUUAAUGGAACAAGCCCAAGCUUGGCUUAGGGCCUGCCUGUCCAAAUUUGGACAGAUUUUUGAAGAGUCUGGGCUUAUUAUCUAUAAUAUGAGCUUGACCCUAGGUUUGGAAAAGUCCGACACAAGUCCAUAUUUUGCCAAUCUAAGCGUGUCAGCAUUGACUCUAUUAAACCGCACGGUUUAACAAUGUGUUCACAUGAAAAAAUGAAGGCCCCCACAUUAGAGAAUGAUUAUAUAUGUACACUUAUUAGAGUUAAUGCACUUUAGAUAUGAUUAUAUAUAAAAUCAAUGUCUGUUUUUUUUAUUAUUAAUUAAAGAGUGAAUAUGUAGAACGAAUUUUAAAUUCGAAGAUUUUGAAUUCCCUCGUCUACGAUGUUAAAGUAUACACACAAUUAUCAAUUUUGAUAAAAAGUGAUCCCAUUAGAUGAAGAAAUCAUUAAAGUUAAAUAGUUAAAGGCCUUUAUAUAUGUAACCUCGUUUGUUUGAAGUCUAAAGAGAUAAUAAUGUGAAAUAUAUGAUUUAGGAAAAAAAAUUGAAAUUGCACAACUACUUUCACUUUUUGGAAACAGAAAAAGUCCACGAUUUUUUGUAAAAGAAUUAUACAAAUAUAAAAUUUCAGUCCUAGUUAAAAGAAUAACAUCUCUAAUUGGACAAAAUGAAACACAUAUAUUUAUAUCCGGGUUAAGAAUUCAGUUUUAAUUUAUGUUUUUUUGCUAAACAAUGAACCAAUAGUUAUUGUGCAAAUAUAUAUAUAUAUAUUUGGCUAGAUCACAUAUUAACCAAUAGUUACGUGAUCUGGCUAGCAAGAGAAUUAAUUAACGAGAAGAAAUUAAAUGAGUUAAAGAAAAUGGAUAUACAUACCUUCAGCAGGGUCGGUCGUAGCAGUGGUGUUAUUUUGAGCGUUGGAUAAACAAAUUAGCAGGAAGAGAUGAUCGAAUAGUACUAGUGAGGAAGAAAGCAGCAGCUUCAACGAUCCCACUCCAAAAUUCAUCUUCAUUUCUCGUUACAAUUUACAAACCCAGAAUAAGGAGAAUUUAAUGCUAAUUUUUGAAUCUAUAGUUUUGUUGAAGUUAAAGAAUAUGUACAAGAAGAAGCUGGCCAGAGUCGG